Molecule: long non-coding RNA, 1889 nt
Organism: Vicia villosa (hairy vetch)
Lineage: Eukaryota; Viridiplantae; Streptophyta; Magnoliopsida; Fabales; Fabaceae
Exons: 3
Source: RefSeq, a predicted model, not a curated record
ACCUCUUAUAUUUUCCUCAUACACCCACGUGAACGAUGAGACAAACCUUCCAUUCUCUAAAACCCUACCGCCGCCGUCACCCAUCCUUUCACCACUUUCCGACCACCACAACUCUUAACUGCAAGCGAGCAACGUUUUUGUACUCCUCAUCACCUCUUCUCCUUUCCUUUUCUGCUCUGUGACUCCAUUUUCUUUUCAAUCAGUGUUGAAAUGGAGCUGUUUGAAACGGAACCACCGUGCCGGUUUCCCUCAGGCCACCGUGAGCUUCAUCUCCUCCAAGGAUUCGAAUAGUGCAUGAUGAAAUCUCCCCAGGUGUUGGAUUUGGUAAUGAAUCACUUAACUAGACCAAUUCCUACAGAGAUUGGAAAUCGCUCGAGCAUUGUGGAAUAAAUGUGAAAUGUGCCUUGAACUGAAGGUAUGCAUUGAAUUUUCUAUUACUUAAUACCUUUACUUCUGAGUUCUGACAUGGUUUUCUAUUGCUUACUGGUUUUUUAUGACCUGAACAGCGCAAAAUCUAUCUCUCUUUUUGUUCAUCCCCUGUUUAGAAUUUGUUUGAAUAGUAAUUAGUUUACAACUUCCUUCAUAGUAAACAUUUAAAGUUUCUCAUAAAUCGUUCUGAACUGUGAAUGGUAAAACAUAUGAUGUAAUGUAAUGUUUACUAUUGACCAAGGAAUGUAUAGAACUUUCAUCUUUAGCUAUUAUAACUGUACAAGGUCUUCAUUUGUCAAUUAGCGAUGUUAAUUUUGGUUUUUGCAUUGCAGGAAGGAGUAUCGAAGUACUCAACUGAAAAACAGAAUAUCCAUCGUGUGUGUAAUAAAACUCGUAGUUUGACUAUGCAGUAAGAACAUGGUACAUUAAUUAAAAAAUGAAAACUCUUUAUGCUGCACUAAGUCUCACAUUAUAUAUCUACCACAUCAUGCCAAAAACCUUGAAACCAUGAAUAUAACUAAAAAAAGAGUUGGCUUAUGUUUCAUUUUUCCCAACUUGGUUUUUGCAUUUGCUUGUGGGAGUGUUAGCAAGGAGUGGAACUGUAGUUUUAUUCACGACAGUUAAUUCAGAUAAUAAUUGUGUGCAUUAUUAGUAUUGUUAUUACAAAGCUACGGAAUAUGGUUCUCACAUACUAAGAGGUUAAUUUUGGUAAUAGGAUUUGACAUCAGAAUUUGGAACUUGUGAUCCCCUAUGUUCAGUUGAUGAAACUAGUUCGCUAGAUUUCGAAGACAACUAUCAGCCCAAGACUGAUUUGCUCAAAGUAGUUGCGAUAUUUGCGGCGGCUGCAACUGGGACGACAGUUACUUUUUUAACGUAUCUGUUGAAAAGCUAUGCUGAUUAUAUAAGGCCACAUGAAGAAAGUAUAUGUAAAAGCAUUGUGAAUUUGCUUGUAACAUGUACUGACUCUGUCCUUAUCACAAGUAUGUCUUCUCUUCAUCUCAUUUUAGAUUUAUCUGCCGCUUUUAGUGAUUUCUUGCAGAAGUACUAGGUGUUGGAUUUUAUUUCAAUAUUCACUGCUUUUUAGUAAUUUAUAUUUUUAGAGAGAAUAAGAAUCCAAUUUUUUGAGCCUACAUGGAUUUCGAAGUUGAGGAAUUCUAUGUUUCUGUCCAUUUUUAAUGCUUGUGAGAUGGAUAUGAUGCUUGUUACCCAUAUUGGCAUUAUUUUGAGCAUGCAUAUUCAAUUUGUUUUAUGCUGCAAAGUUUCCAUGGAUCUUUGAUUGAUCCAUCAUUGUUUAUUUCAUUCUCCUCAACCACAAGUGCAGCUUUGUUUAAACACCUCUAAGCUAUAACAAACAAAAAAAAGUUUUUUAUGUUGAUAGAUUUACUUGUAUUCAGUUUGGUGCAAUCAAUAAAAAUCAAUGUUUAAAUCCAUCAUUAAUUAGUUUGACUUUUGAUACUAUG